RNAcentral lists this ribosomal RNA (373 nucleotides) under uncultured bacterium. RNAcentral describes it as "bacterial SSU rRNA". It matches the Rfam family "Bacterial small subunit ribosomal RNA", at positions 525 to 896 of the family's 1533-position model. The record is from RNAcentral.
ACGUAUGGGGCAAGCGUUGUUCGGAAUUAUUGGGCGUAAAGGGCUCGCAGGUGGUUUGUUAAGUUGGUGGUUUAAUCUCUGGGCUCAACCCAGAGUCAGCCAUCAAAACUGGCGAACUUGAGUACGAUAGGGGAUAGCGGAAUUCUCGGUGUAGCGGUGGAAUGCGUAGAUAUCGAGAGGAACACCAAUGGCGAAGGCAGCUAUCUGGAUCGUAACUGACACUCAUGAGCGAAAGUGCGGGGAGCAAACAGGAUUAGAUACCCUGGUAGUCCGCACCGUAAACGUUGUAUACUAGUUGUUGGUGGUUUCAACGCCAUCAGUGACGUCGCUAACGCAUUAAGUAUACCGCCUGGGGAGUAUGCUCGCAAGGGUG